Long non-coding RNA from Columba livia (rock pigeon), 4077 nucleotides. RefSeq lists it as uncharacterized. The record is from RefSeq and is a predicted model, not a curated record. NCBI's taxonomy places the organism in Eukaryota, Metazoa, Chordata, Aves, Columbiformes, Columbidae. The transcript is spliced from 3 exons.
AAAUCAGGAAGAACUCAUUAAAUGCUUCAGUUUCAUCAAGACUUCAGCCCAAGUCCCAAAAGAUGACACAGUAAAAAUGAAUGAAGAGUAUUUCUACCCUUAAUAUACAUCUUUAUUAAGUGAUGGGGCUGAGGUAAAAUUGACUGUCCAGCUACUUGUAGGUAAGAAAAUCUUGUGAUACAAUGGCACAGAAUGACCACACUGUCAUUUCCACAUGGUGGUAGCAGUGGGGACAAAGGGAAAACCCACCUCAGACAAUAGGAGUGAAUUAUGUAUCUUAUUUCUAUCAUUGUCAAUAAGACCUCCGUAGCUGUGAAAUUUAAGCUGUUACAAAAGCUGCUGAUACGUAUGUACAGGCCAUAAACAACUGAUUCCUUUCAGAGAUCAGGAAAGACUGUCAUUCUUAUUAAGCAGGAAAAAAAAUAAAUAAAACAAGAGAAGAGACAUUAAGAAAACUUAUGUUCCAGCUACUAUAGCAACAUCUUUUUAAUCAAUAGGGGGAAUGCAAAAAGUAUACAAAGCAAUGGACAACACAGCUGCAAUUACUACUUCAUGUGAGACCAUGCUUCAUUUGCAUUGUGACAUCCAAUCAGACAGAAUUAAAUUUUGUGUGCUACCCUAUGUCCCCAACUCUCUCCUUCAGCUAAUCUGUCACAUCCUUUACAGAAGUGUUACAAAUAAGAUUUAUCAGGAUGACAAAUAGAGCUUUCGUUCCUAGUGUGGACUGUGCUUGCCGUUGCCCAGUGUACAAUCAGCAGCUCAGCUGCUAAGCAACAAAAUGAAACAGAGAAAGAAAAAGCCCCACCAUACCCCAACUCCUGUCAAAAAUGCCCAUCUUUUGGCAUAUUGAGUGGGAACAACUGACACAAGAAAAGGAAUCAACUGCACCACGGAUACUGUGGAUUCUCAGGGAUGGUCAUGUUCAGCUCACAGCAAAAGCCACAGACCCUUGAAAAAAGUCUAUUUUUCAGGAAUGGACCUGAGAUACAAGAAAUGAUGGACCACUCGGUUCAGAUACCACAGUGAGGUGGUAUUUAAGUCUUUCAGCAAAUGGUAGAACAUUCCCCAAAUACCUCAACGAAAAGCCAGGAAAAACUUUUACCUGGUAUCAUCACACAUGCUUAAGGAGUUCAAGUUCUGAAGUGUUAAAUGAGAUACCCCAAGCAUUAACCUUGUAUGAAAGUGGUUAAGAAGUGCAGAAGAGAACUCUACCAUAUAAAUGAAAUAUUUAGAAAAAGAGUUGCAAAGUCAGAAACACGCAGGAUUUACUAUGUGUUUCCAUGUCAUUACUUCACAGAAGAAAAAAAAAAAAAGGUUCAUUUUUAUACUCUGCAGCAUCUUUCAAGUCUGCAAUUUUCCAUAAAACUUCCAUUAUGACAUUUUACUCAGUUUUCCUAAUAGCUUCUUAGUUGUCAUACUUUCCUGUACCUUCAAAAAUGGGUAAAUUAUGCUACAGUACCAGGUUAUUUUCAUUCAUCCUCACAAUUGAGCUGUUAACUGCUGGGUUCACACUAGAAUGUAUUCAGGCAGGGUUUGUUUCAGCCACUCCAUUAACUUCAACAGACUAUUUUAGUGUUUGCACUGAAUGCACAGUUCAGACAAUUUCACACUCAAAUUUUUUUCAAGCUUCAUGCCAACAAACCACUGAGGAUGACACACAUCAGUCUUUCAGUGGGUCUAAAACACCAUUUCCAGGCAAUUCACAGAUUUUGAAGAAAAAGGCAAAUGCCACCCAGGCAAUUUAGGCUGGAAGAGAGGCUAAAGGACUCCUAAAGGUAGAUCUUCCCUCCCAUGCUAGAGAGGAAAUAUCCUUCACAGAUAUACAUACAUAAAUCAGGCAACAUUAAAAAUUGAUACCCCUAUGAAUUUCCAUCAACUCAGAUGGCUGUGGGAUAAGUCAAUGCAGCCACAGCUGCUUGUGCCCUGUCUAGUAAUGCAAAAUUCUUGGAGGAGAGGAGGAGAGGCAAAAAGAGGAAGAGGCAUUCAUUCAUCCUUAUAUACUGCAGAAAAGAAUGAAAAGCUUUCCUUUUAGAACUAAACAUUUUCAGUAAGGAUGAUUAACAAUACCAUAUGCCAUGGAGGAAGGAUUAACACAGCUGCUGUAGGAGAGAUACAGUCUGUAGAUUUAUGGAGAAUCGAAGAAGAGCAACUGUUGGCUUCCAGGUGACAAUGCAGCAGAACUGAUGCUUCCCAGGUCUUCACUUUGAGCCUGCACCUUGCAAGCUUCUCCCGGUGGAUCCUGAAUUGCUCAGCAUUGAACCAAACCAUGCCCCCAGGAGACUCCAGCUCUGGAGAUAAAAGGCCCAGCACAACUCCACUUCCCUUGUUCCUCUUGAACAUUACAUGCCAUUAGCAUGUAAAUUGUUGAUUCAUUCAAUGAAAAUGAUCAGACCUAGCUAAGAGUUAGUCUGCAGCAAGAAUUCAGCUCCCAGGACAAGUUCCACUGAAAUGACCAUCAACUUCCUCUGGAGUUUCACAUGAGCACAAAGAAAAAAGUGAAUACAGCCUGUGAGUCAAUGACGCCAAGUUUAGGGCCCUUCUCUUUAUGGCUCCCAUGGAAUCUUUCAUUUCACCAAAUAUCACUUGCUGAGGAUACUGAGCACCUCUAGUAGCUCGGCUCUCAUCAUCUUCCCAGGGGAGCCUGACACAAACAGUUCUGUACUCACAAUUUUCUCACGAACAACACAAAUCCUGACAGAUAAUGAGAAAUGCAUUGUAUUUCCUAAUCCAGAAGAGUGCUAUAGGAUUCACAUUUCCUUCAUGUUUAUUGAGUUCAGAAUUCUGAAAUCACAGCUCCUAUCGAGUCAGCCGCAGAACUGAGAGGAGAAUUAAGACUUUGUGUUUUCAAACCCCAUUUUUAAUAUUCAGUUAUAUCACCACUGAAAGAAAAAAAACCCUCCCCACACCUUACACCAGUGUUUGUGUCAGACUUCAUAUUUCUGAUGAGUUGAGAAAGAAAUGCUAUUUCAGUAAAAUACUUUUUAAAUAAUAGACACAGAUCUCCUAGAAGUGGUGCAAAGAACAUUCAUGCAAAAUCUGGAGUAUGUAACAAGAGAAAGCAAUUGACUGAAAUAUUUUGGGCUAAUAGUGACAGCUCAGCAACCAAUGCCCAUCAUUACAGAGAGAAUAAUGCAAGUGAUUUGCGAGGAAGGGCUCCAACCUGCUCAGUUUGCCAUUCCUGCAGACUCCAUUGUAGCAGAAUCCAGCCCUGAAUAUUUCAUCUUAAAAUACAUCUACCAACAAUAGCAUUAUUUGUCUUGGCAGAUACUGGAGCUUAUGCAAAAAGUAGAAGGCUUACCAUGUGGAAUACGAGGCAGUAAUACAAAACACAUACAGAACAAUAUGAGAAAAUAUUUAAAAAUAUAAUUUAUAAUAGCUUAAUCUUACGUACACUAUAAAAACAAAUUACAGAUAUAGAUAGCUCAUUGGUGUAUUCAUAUUAGUAUACACAGCAUUAUAGAAGGGACCAUACCUUUGCUUUAUCUGAAAAGGAAAACAUUCUACUUAUUUUUUUUUUUCUGCUCUGCAUGCAUUUCAUUUUCCAAAAUGCAACUGGGCGUGCAUUACAUACAAACUUCAUCCUGCUUCUCUGAAGUACAGCUGUCAUGAGCAUUCUCUAGCGCUAUGCAGAAGCCUUAUGGAGUGAAAAGUGCUGGGGACAAGCUGAAUCUGAGUCUAAGUGCCAUAUUUUCAGCAGAGUGCAGCUUCAGAAAUGCUACUGGAAAAAACCAACUAGAAAUUGAUGCCGUUUUAAGUAGCAAGCAACUUUUGGCAGCCAAAAAAGGGCAGUGUGUAAUGAUGAGAGCUGAAACAAACACACUUUAUUUAAGAGUAAGCAGCGUCAGUUCUUGUCUAGAACGAUAUCGUACAUGGCGUAUAUUAUAGUGUCCCGUGAUAGCUGGAUCAGACACUAACAGGCAAGCAAAGGGGACAUGGAGUGCAUCACGCUGCCUGCAUCAGUUGCACUGCACUGACACAGGCUGGAAAACACACAGCACACUCUAGGGACAUACAUGGAAAAAAUAAAAAUAAAAGGAACAAACAGAACAUGGAUCCAUAGUGCCACAAACCUUCCGG